Molecule: non-coding RNA, 45 nt
Organism: Schistosoma curassoni
Lineage: Eukaryota; Metazoa; Platyhelminthes; Trematoda; Strigeidida; Schistosomatidae
Source: Rfam
AUCCAGCUAACUAGUCCGAAAUAGGACGAAACGCGCGUCCUGGAU